RNAcentral lists this ribosomal RNA (484 nucleotides) under uncultured bacterium. RNAcentral's name for it is "partial 16S ribosomal RNA". It matches the Rfam family "Bacterial small subunit ribosomal RNA", at positions 28 to 507 of the family's 1533-position model. The record is from RNAcentral.
AUUGAACGCUGGCGGCAUGCUUUACACGUGCAAGUCGAACGGCAGCGCGGGCUUCGGCCUGGCGGCGAGUGGCGAACGGGUGAGUAAUGCAUCGGAACGUGCCCAGUAGUGGGGGAUAGCCCGGCGAAAGCCGGAUUAAUACCGCAUACGACCUGAGGGUGAAAGCGGGGGACCGAGAGGCCUCGCGCUAUUGGAGCGGCCGAUGUCGGAUUAGCUAGUUGGUGGGGUAAAGGCUUACCAAGGCGACGAUCCGUAGCUGGUCUGAGAGGACGACCAGCCACACUGGGACUGAGACACGGCCCAGACUCCUACGGGAGGCAGCAGUGGGGAAUUUUGGACAAUGGGGGCAACCCUGAUCCAGCCAUGCCGCGUGCGGGAAGAAGGCCUUCGGGUUGUAAACCGCUUUUGUUCGGGAAGAAAUCCUCUGGGCUAAUACCCCGGGGGGAUGACGGUACCGGAAGAAUAAGCACCGGCUAACUACGUG